CAGAUUGAACGCUGGCGGCAGGCCUAACAYAUGCAAGUCGAGCGCGAAAGUUCUUCGGAAUGAGUAGAGCGGCGGACGGGUGAGUAAUGCAUAGGAAUCUGCCCAGUAGUGGGGGAUAGCCCGGGGAAACCCGGAUUAAUACCGCAUACGUCCUACGGGAGAAAGCAGGGGAUCUUCGGACCUUGCGCUAUUGGAUGAGCCUAUGUCGGAUUAGCUUGUUGGUGGGGUAACGGCCCACCAAGGCGACGAUCCGUAGCUGGUCUGAGAGGAUGAUCAGCCACACUGGAACUGAGACACGGUCCAGACUCCUACGGGAGGCAGCAGUGGGGAAUAUUGCACAAUGGGGGAAACCCUGAUGCAGCCAUGCCGCGUGUGUGAAGAAGGCCUUCGGGUUGUAAAGCACUUUCAGUAGGGAGGAAGGCCCUAAAGUUAAUACCUUUAGGGAUUGACGUUACCUACAGAAGAAGCACCGGCUAACUCCGUGCCAGCAGCCGCGGUAAUACGGAGGGUGCGAGCGUUAAUCGGAAUUACUGGGCGUAAAGCGCGCGUAGGCGGUUAGUUAAGCUGGAUGUGAAAGCCCCGGGCUCAACCUGGGAACUGCAUUCAGAACUGGCUGGCUAGAGUACGAGAGAGGGUAGUGGAAUUUCCUGUGUAGCGGUGAAAUGCGUAGAUAUAGGAAGGAACAUCAGUGGCGAAGGCGACUGCCUGGCUCGAUAC
This 717-nucleotide ribosomal RNA is filed under the name Microbulbifer sp. RNAcentral's name for it is "bacterial SSU rRNA". It matches the Rfam family "Bacterial small subunit ribosomal RNA", at positions 25 to 740 of the family's 1533-position model. The record is from RNAcentral. Lineage: Bacteria; Pseudomonadati; Pseudomonadota; Gammaproteobacteria; Cellvibrionales; Microbulbiferaceae.